Molecule: ribosomal RNA, 253 nt
Filed under: uncultured bacterium
Lineage: Bacteria
Description: partial 16S ribosomal RNA
Rfam family: Bacterial small subunit ribosomal RNA
Source: RNAcentral
UACGGAGGGUGCAAACGUUGCUCGGAAUUAUUGGGCGUAAAGCGCACGUAGGCGGGUCAUCAAGUCGGUUGUGAAAUCCCUCGGCUUAACCGGGGAACUGCGUCUGAUACUGGAUGGCUGGAGUGUGGGAGAGGGAUGCGGAAUUCCAGGUGUAGCGGUGAAAUGCGUAGAUAUCUGGAGGAACACCGGUGGCGAAGGCGGCAUCCUGGACCAUUACUGACACUGAAAAGCGAAAGCCAGGGGAGCAAACGGG